GGGGGUAUAGCUCAGUAGUAGAGCAUUUGACUGCAGAUCAAGAGGUCCCUGGUUCAAAUCCAGGUGCCCCCU
This 72-nucleotide transfer RNA is filed under the name Loxodonta africana (African savanna elephant). RNAcentral describes it as "tRNA-Cys (GCA) (tRNA-Cys-GCA-7-1)". It matches the Rfam family "tRNA". Rfam says of the family: Transfer RNA (tRNA) molecules are approximately 80 nucleotides in length. Their secondary structure includes four short double-helical elements and three loops (D, anti-codon, and T loops). Further hydrogen bonds mediate the characteristic L-shaped molecular structure. tRNAs have two regions of fundamental functional importance: the anti-codon, which is responsible for specific mRNA codon recognition, and the 3' end, to which the tRNAs corresponding amino acid is attached (by aminoacyl-tRNA synthetases). tRNAs cope with the degeneracy of the genetic code in two manners: having more than one tRNA (with a specific anti-codon) for a particular amino acid; and 'wobble' base-pairing, i.e. permitting non-standard base-pairing at the 3rd anti-codon position. Lineage: Eukaryota; Metazoa; Chordata; Mammalia; Proboscidea; Elephantidae. The record is from Rfam by way of RNAcentral.